Molecule: long non-coding RNA, 4975 nt
Filed under: Gossypium barbadense (sea-island cotton)
Lineage: Eukaryota; Viridiplantae; Streptophyta; Magnoliopsida; Malvales; Malvaceae
Description: long non-coding RNA (GBAR_LNC013847)
Source: RNAcentral
AUUUGCAGACAUUCAAGAUUAUUUGGUUAUCAAGGGUGCUUGCCUCAAGGGACGGAACUACUUGUUCCAGUUACUAACCAAUUUGGUCUGUUCUGGUUGAACUAUGUAAGGUGACAUCCAAUCAUCCAUGUCGUAAUAAACUGACCAACCUGUGAAGCACAAGCAUUGGUGGUGUGAGUUCCAUAGUCAAAUCAGGGGUGGUGAUGUCCCAGUAGCUUCAAACAUCAAUUCAUCACAGAGAGGCUAAAUUUCAGUAUUCUAAGAGGCUAAAUCCCAAAGUUCUCAAACCUUCAUUUUCAAUCGCCUGUCUUAAACCAAAGUUAGUAGUAGCCUUUAACAGGAACAAUGGAAGCCUUCUUUGCUGCUUAUAAGAAUGUACUAAUCUCCAUAGCUUGAUGUUCCUUUUCUCUUACAGCUUCUUGUGUAAUGUAUAUAAUUUCAAACAUAUGUGCAUCUCCUUGAAUUGAAAUGAUAAACAAGAAGAAACUUCUCUUGGUAAACCCUUCAAUAUAGUUUUCCCAACAGCCCAAGCUCAUGAGAAAAAAGAAGAAAAAUGUUAUCUGGUUUGUAACAUGGAUUUAGGUGAUCUCGAACAGGUUUCCAUUUCUUUUUAAGUUUAUCCUAAUUGUGAAUAUAACCGACACUAAGCCAAUCAAUGGAUCGCUGAUAAGUAUAUUUAGAUUAGGCACACAUAUCAUGUCUUGUUCAUUUCUUCUGGAGAUGAUGGGGCUUACAUACUUCAUACUUGAUCAAUCAAGAAAAGACAUGAAAGAAUAGUACAGGUAUUAAAUAUGACAUUUACUUUGUAUAUGUAUUAUAUUGCACAUUGGAUAAAAGUUAAGGGACCAUUUUUGAUAUUAACCUUAAAUCUUAUAUAAAGGUACGGGAAAACGAAAAUAGUCAUCUCUUUUCACAUUUAACACUAAAUAUUUGUAUCCCUAGCUGCUUCUACGAAAGCAUUCUUCACAGCCACUCACGACGGUCGUCAGCUUUCUCAGCUCAGCUUCCCGGACCUCCUCUAUACUCAAGUCUUCAAAGUUUGCUCAGAAGCCAGACAUAAGCUAGUGAAGCCGAACCACAAAACAAAAGGGGAAAACAAUCCGGUUCCUAUCGACGGCCGUCGGGCAGGUCUGUAGUUUUCUUACCUUAUGGCGAUGUGUGUGGAAGACAGGAUCAGUAGUUUUCCGGAUCAUAUUCUUUUUCAUAUUUUGUCUUUCCUUCCCAUUAAAGAAGCAGUUCGAACCUCUAUUAUUUCAACCAAGUGGAGAUACCUCUUUGCUUCAAUUUCUACCAUUAAAUUUGAUGGUUCUUUAAUGAGUGGUUUGACUGACAGAAAUGUUGACAGCUUCAAGAACUUUGUUGAUAGGUUAUUGAAAUUCCCCGAUCAGGUAAGUUUAGAUUGCUUUGGGCUAAAUGAUAUUGUUUCAUGGAAUGAUAGAGAUCAUAAUUUUGAUGUUUCUGAUUGGAUAUGUGCUGCACUGUGCCGUGGUGUUAAGGAAAUUGAUCUGGACUUAGAGAAUCUUGGGGAUAUUUUACCAGCUCUUUUAUUCACUUGCCACUCACUGGUCACAUUGAAAUUGGUUGCAUUAGGUUCUGAGAUUAAGGUCCCAUCUGACGUUUGUUUAGGGAAUCUGAAGACUUUGCAGCUUGGAAACUCGGUACUUUUCGGUGAUUCCAUUCAUAGGUUAAUUUCCAAUUGCCAUGUCUUAGAAGAUUUGGCUGUUAUUGAAUGUCGUUUUGAUAAUAUAAGUGAGGUCAAUAUCCAAAGUCCUUGGCUUAAGAGAUUAGUUUUAGUUUUUAAUCUUGACGUAUUCGGCAAUAUAGAUUAUGUGUUGGUGAUUAAUACUCCAAAUCUUGUUUAUUUUCAAUAUACUGACGCAGUAGUUGAAGGCUAUAAUUUGACUAACAUGAAGUCUCUAGAAAAAGCCCAUAUUAACAUCUGCGAGAGUGAUUCCAUUGAUUGUGAAACAAGUGCAACUCAUCUUAUUCAAGGAAUUCGCAAUGUGCGGUCUCUAAGUUUAACCACUGAUGCAGCGGUUAGUAAACUUAGGAUUCAUGUGUGAUUUUCCUUCUAACAUUAUACAAUUUAACAUUAUAUAAUAGCUCCAAGUUUUUGUUUGUGCAGAUUUUCCUAACUAGUCGACUUCCUAUAUUUCACAACCUUAUUGAAUUCGAAUAUUGUGGUCUUGGUUUUGAUGGGAUAGAAACUUGGCUUGUGGAGUUUCUACAUUGUGCGCCUAAUCUAGAGACAUUUACCCUCAAUUUUCCGGUAUGAAGUCUGUGUCUAAGUUUGUGUGUAUUCGUUGCAGUUUAUUGUUUUAGUGUCAGUUAUAUCCACAGUUAUGAUAAAUUUAAAAAAAAUCGAAAGCAUGUUCGAGAUCACCUAAAUUCAUGGUACAAAGCAAAUAACUUUUCUUCUUUUUUCAUGAGUUUAGGUUGAUGCGAGAAUUCAAUGGAAGGUUUUACCUGUAAAAGUUCCGUCUUGUUUGUCAUUUCAUCUAAAGGAGAUUGAAAUUUCAUGCUCUGAGACACAUAUAAUUGAAAUGGUUAGUUAUUUCUUGAAUAAUGCAAUGGUUUUGGAAAAUCUCAUAAUAAGAAUGAAGGCCAUGACUGUGACACAGAAAAGGAAAGUCAGCAACCAAUUAUUGCAGUUACUAAAGAGUUCAAAGAAAUGUCUAAUUGUGAUUUUGUAGUACUGUUUUAUAUUAUGGUUAGAAUUACUUAUCACUGUCUGGUUUGGUUUUGUAUAGAUGUGUUGUUUGUAAUAUAUAUUUCACUGUUAAUAUCCAAUACAUUCACUAAUCGCAAUAGACUAUACCUGAUGGUUGGUUUAUAUGUAUGUGUGUAUGUAUACUUGUGUAUAUAAUGUAUACAAAACCAAAUCAGGUACCAAUAAGUUUUAACCAUAACAUAAAAUAGUACCAAGAAACCCCUCCAGCCAUAACAUAAAAUAGUACCAAGAAACCCCUCCAGUCUAACAUAACAUCGACAAGAGGCUGAAGAUCUGCCAAGCAAAUUUUACUCUAAUACGCUCUUAUAAUAUUCACAAUACAUAAUGACAGAAAUUUCUUGGUAGAAGUACCAUCAACGCUCUUUUACUAAGAGUCAAAUUGUAUUUUGCUUCUUUUAUUUUUAAAAUGAGUAAAUUAGUCUUCUUAUAUUAGAUAAAAAAGCAUAUUGGCUAUUUUUGUUAAAAAUAUCAUCCCUUUGUAACGUUAAAACCAAACAUGACUGAUAAAAUAAUCACGUCACGACUCACAUGUAUCUCAAGCUGACGACUUAUAAGAAUCAAUUUUUAAUAGUAGGAAUGAAUGAUGAAUGAAAGUUUAAUAGAAAGAUCAAUUUACUUUUUAAUUUAACAUAUAAGAGCAAAUUUACUUAUUUUUUAAGUAAAGGGUCAAAAUACAAUCUUAACUCUUAGUAAAAAGGCCUUGAUAAUACUUUUCCCAAAUUAAUUUUGAGAUGAUAUUUUAACAGAAGAAUGCACCAGAGGUCCAGAGAUGAAGAUUAGAGUUGAUAUAAUCAACACUGACAGACCUGUAAGGCGCAAGCUUUGGUGUCAAUGGUGUGAGUUCUAUAGUCAAAUUAAGGGAUCUUCAAACAUGAUUUCAUUCCUAGAGAAUCUAAAUUCCAGUAUUCUGGCAGGCUAAAAUCUAAAGUUCUCAAACCUUCAUUUCCAAUGGCCUGCUGAAAUCAAAGCUAGCCUACAACAGGAACACUGGAACCGUAGGCUUUCUUUUGGUUACAAUACAUAUAUAUUUAUGCAUAUAAUUUUAUUUGAAUUACUUGGUAACUGCAAUAAUUGUUUGCAGACUUUCCAUUACCGUCUCCCAGACAGGGUUCACAUCCUUAUCAUGAGCUUUUCCAGUACCAUUGCAUUAUCAAAGAAAUAAGUAAUCAUUUCAAACAAACAAGAAGGAACUUGUAUAGGUAAAACCUUCCAUGGAGUUUCCACACCAUCCUAAACACAUGAAAAAAGUGAUUUGGUUUGUACCAUGAAGUAAAGGUGAUCUCGAACAUGCUUUUGGUUUCUUCUAAGUGUGAAGGUAAGUGUCAUGGCAAGUAAAUGAAAGAGCUGGUGAAGUGAGAACAUCCCCAAUAUUAGCUAAAUGUAAAUCACUUUCCUUAACAUCUUGGCACAAGGCAGUCAUUCCAAGAAAUCCCAUCACUCAGCCUAAAUCGAUCUGAACUUACCUGAUUGGGGGAUUUCAAUAACCUAUCAACAAAGUUGUUGAAGCUGCUAACAUUUCUGUCAGUCAAACUUCAAUGCGUUGCUAUCAUAUUCCUUAUUGCAGGAGGUGGAGCAGGAUCAAUAUGGUCGCAUUACAACAUGUAAGAUGAAUGAUUUAGUUCAUGAUCUUGCAAAUCCAUUUCUCAUAUUAGACAAGAAAAUGUUGUUAAUGGUGUGAGAUUGUGGCACUCUUUGUUCUUCGAGUCUAGCUCCAUCCGUGCUGUAAGGGACUUCAAAAGCUUACGAGUUCUUAUUUUUUGUGAGUCUCCUUGUCACUCUCUAUUGGCAGGCUAAAGCAUUUAAGGUACUUUGAGAUUUCAAGAACUUACAUAUGUAGAUUACCAAUGUCAUCGGGCAGCUCUACCAUUUGCAGACAUUCAAGAUUAUUUGGUUAUCAAGGGUGCUUGCCUCAAGGGACGGAACUACUUGUUCCAGUUACUAACCAAUUUGGUCUGUUCUGGUUGAACUAUGUAAGGUGACAUCCAAUCAUCCAUGUCGUAAUAAACUGACCAACCUGUGAAGCACAAGCAUUGGUGGUGUGAGUUCCAUAGUCAAAUCAGGGGUGGUGAUGUCCCAGUAGCUUCAAACAUCAAUUCAUCACAGAGAGGCUAAAUUUCAGUAUUCUAAGAGGCUAAAUCCCAAAGUUCUCAAACCUUCAUUUUCAAUCGCCUGUCUUAAACCAAAGUUAGUAGUAGCCUUUAACAGGAACAAUGGAAGCCUUCUUUGCUGCUUAUAAGAAUGUAC